AGUGAACGCUGGCGGUAGGCCUAACACAUGCAAGUCGAACGGCAGCACAGUAAGAGCUUGCUCUUACGGGUGGCGAGUGGCGGACGGGUGAGGAAUACAUCGGAAUCUACUUUUUCGUGGGGGAUAACGUAGGGAAACUUACGCUAAUACCGCAUACGACCUACGGGUGAAAGCAGGGGAUCUUCGGACCUUUCGCGAUUGAAUGAGCCGGUGUCGGUUUAGCUAGUUGGCGGGGUAAAGGACCACCAAGGCGACGAUGCGUAGCUGGUCUGAGAGGAUGAUCCGCCACACUGGAACUGACACGCGCUACAGACUCCUACGGGGGGCAGCAGUGGGAAAUAUCGGACUAGGGGCGCACGCCUCGUCCAGCCACACCGCGUGGGAGAAGAAUCCCUUCGUGUUGUAACGCUCUUUUGAGGGAAAAAAAAAGCAGCAGGUUACUACCCCGCUGUUCCGACUGUACACAAAGAAUACGCCCCGUCUAUCCUUG
This 490-nucleotide ribosomal RNA is filed under the name uncultured bacterium. Its description in RNAcentral is "partial 16S ribosomal RNA". It matches the Rfam family "Bacterial small subunit ribosomal RNA", at positions 29 to 505 of the family's 1533-position model. The record is from RNAcentral.